This 648-nucleotide ribosomal RNA is filed under the name uncultured Chloroflexota bacterium. RNAcentral's name for it is "bacterial SSU rRNA". It matches the Rfam family "Bacterial small subunit ribosomal RNA", at positions 554 to 1214 of the family's 1533-position model. The record is from RNAcentral. Lineage: Bacteria; Bacillati; Chloroflexota.
CUGGGCGUAAAGCGCACGCAGGCGGUCUUUCGCGUUCGUGCCGACAGCGACUCGCCUAACGAGUCGAGGAGUACGGAAACGGGGGGACUUGAGGGCCAGAGAGGGACACGGAACUCCGGGUGGAGUGGUGAAAUGCGUAGAGAUCCGGAAGAACACCAAAGGCGAAGGCAGUGUCCUGGUUGGUACCUGACGCUCAGAGGCGACAGCUAGGGGAGCGAACGGGAUUAGAUACCCCGGUAGUCCUAGCCGUAAACGAUGACCACGAGAUGUCCGGGGGAUCGACCCUCUGGGUGUCGAAGCAAACGCAAUCAGUGGUCCGCCUGGGGAGUACGGUCGCAAGAUUAAAACUCAAAGGAAUUGACGGGGACCCGCACAAGCAGCGGAGCGUGUGGUUUAAUUCGAUGCAACGCGAAGCACCUUACCAGGGUUUGACAUGUCUUUGCACCGCCUGGAGACAGGCGUGCCCGCAAGGGACGGAGACACAGGUGCUGCAUGGCUGUCGUCAGCUCGUGCCGUGAGGUGUUGGGUUAAGUCCCGCAACGAGCGCAACCCUCAUUGCUAGUUGGAUUUUUCUAGCGAGACUGCCACGAUCAACGUGGAGGAAGGUGGGGAUGAGCGUCAAGUCAGCACGGCCCUUACAUCCUGGGC